RNAcentral lists this ribosomal RNA (483 nucleotides) under uncultured bacterium. RNAcentral's name for it is "bacterial SSU rRNA". It matches the Rfam family "Bacterial small subunit ribosomal RNA", at positions 30 to 504 of the family's 1533-position model. The record is from RNAcentral.
AUUGAACGCUGGCGGCAUGCCUUACACAUGCAAGUCGAACGGCAGCACGGGAGCAAUCCUGGUGGCGAGUGGCGAACGGGUGAGUAAUAUAUCGGAACGUGCCCAGUCGUGGGGGAUAACGCAGCGAAAGCUGUGCUAAUACCGCAUACGAUCUCUGGAUGAAAGCGGGGGACUCGCAAGAGCCUCGCGCGAUUGGAGCGGCCGAUAUCAGAUUAGCUAGUUGGUGGGGUAAAAGCCCACCAAGGCGACGAUCUGUAGCUGGUCUGAGAGGACGACCAGCCACACUGGAACUGAGACACGGUCCAGACUCCUACGGGAGGCAGCAGUGGGGAAUUUUGGACAAUGGGCGCAAGCCUGAUCCAGCAAUGCCGCGUGCAGGACGAAGGCCUUCGGUUGUAAACUGCUUUUGUACGGUACGAAACGGUCCUUUCUAUAAAGAGGGCGUAAUGACGGUACCGUAAGAAUAAGACACCGGCUAACUAC